Molecule: ribosomal RNA, 1107 nt
Filed under: Triticum aestivum (bread wheat)
Lineage: Eukaryota; Viridiplantae; Streptophyta; Magnoliopsida; Poales; Poaceae
Description: partial small subunit ribosomal RNA
Source: RNAcentral
AUGAAUAUCCUAGUGUGGAACUGCCGGGUGGUGGGGGGUGACCGCCGGACAAUUCAUGAGGUGUUGGCCCUCUCUAAAGCCAAUUCCCCGGGGCUUGUCUUUCUCUCGGAAACUAGACAUGCCUCUUCAAAGAUGGAGAAACUAAAGUGGAGACUGCAUAUGAAGGGUUUUGCGGGUGUAUCGAGUGAUGGACUUAGUGGAGGACUUGCGCUCCAUUGGGACGAGAAGUUGCAAGUGACAGUGUUGGAGUCCUGUGCAUGGUACAUUGACGUGCGGAUAGUAGAUGUGGCAAGUGACAAGAACUGGAGAACAACGUUCGUUUAUGGUGAGCCUCGAGUAGAGAACCGUCAUCUCAUGUGGAGCUCACUUUCCCAGCUCCGUGCAUUCUCCUCGGAGCCGUGGGUAGUGUGUGGCGACUUCAACGAGGCGAUAUGGCAGCAUGAACAUAUGUCUAGAACCCAGCAUUCUGAAAAUCAAAUGGGGAUGUUCCGUGACUGUUUGUUGGCUUGCGAGUUGUGGGACCUUGGUUUCUCGGGGUAUCCUUUUACAUAUGAUAAUGGGCAAAUGGGUGAGAGGAACGUGCAAGUUCGCCUUGACCGAGCAUGUGCGGAUGAAAAUUGGAGGGAUCUCUUCCCGGCUGCGCAAGUUCUUCACUUGGCAUCUUCAUGUUCUGACCAUAGCCCGAUCUUGGUUCAGCUUGCUCUCGUGGAUUCCAGGAGGACUAGGGCCUCCCCAAGAUACGAGAUUAUGUGGGAACGCCACCCGACGCUUUUAGAAGUAGUGGCGAGUAGAUGGAGGAAGAGCAAACCAGCCGGCAAUCUGGCUGCUGUGCGUGACGCCCUACAUGAAAUGAUGACAGGCCUCCGGGCGUGGAGUAAGGAGAACUUCGGCCAUGUUGCAUCAGAACUGGAGAAGUUAAGGGCCGAGCUGGCUGAUUUACAAGUAAGAGAUGCGGACAGAGCGGUGAUCCGCCAGAAGAUGUAUCAACUUGAUGAGUUACUAUAUAGGGAAGAGAUGAUGUGGCUGCAGAGAUCUUGCAUUACGUGGCUGAAAGAAGGAGAAAGAAACACGGCAUAUCUGCAUAGGCGAGCUUUGUGGCGUGCAUGA